This is a long non-coding RNA of Engraulis encrasicolus (European anchovy), 2966 nucleotides long. RefSeq lists it as uncharacterized. The transcript is spliced from 5 exons. NCBI's taxonomy places the organism in Eukaryota, Metazoa, Chordata, Actinopteri, Clupeiformes, Engraulidae. The record is from RefSeq and is a predicted model, not a curated record.
GAAAGUUUGUGUUUUGUUAGAAACAAACUCUACGAAAUGUACAAUAUAGAUUUGCUCCGAAAGAGCUAUAAAACUUGUCCAGUGGUGCCAAAACACCCAUGUCAGAGUCAAGACCUAGCUAAAUGUCCGCUAGCAACAUAGCUAUCAGUGGUUUCUGGAGGAGGGCCGAAGGGAGUGCUUCCCCGCCGGCCAGAGAUUGUUUGCGCCGGCCUCUUCACCUGAAAGAGCUAGCGCUGCAUGAUGAGGUGGUUCGCUAGCAACAAUUAGCUAUAGUCUAACGGUUAAAUCAUGUUGCCUUUGUUGAGGGAUGUUUGAAAUAGCCCGAUGUAUUCAUAACUGAAUAUUGGUUUCUUGUUAGAAACGAACACAUUUUGGAUAUAAUUUUGUUCUGAAGUUACAACAUGCCAAGUUAGUGUUGUAAGACUGUUGGCGCCAAAGUUAAGAGCUAGCUAAAUGUCCGCUAGCAACAUUAGAGCUAGCCAAACUGAAUAAUGAAUCUCUUGUCCGCUAGCAACAUUAGCUAGCUAAAGUCUUUUUUUUUGUUAGAAACGAACUCCCUUUGAGUAUAAUUAUGCUCUGAAGAUAUCCAGUUAAUGUACUUGAGCCAAAGUAAAACACAAAUACCAGAGAGAAGAGCUAGCUAGAAGUUCGUUAGCAACAUCAGCUUAUCUUUUAGCUGACUCAGAAGCUUGAAGUAGCCACAACUUAUGCCUGAUUUUUAUUGUUAGAAACGAACUCAUUUUGACUAUACACUUGCUCUGAAGUAUGUUUUAACACAUGUGCCUUUCCCUGUUCGUUGUGUAAAGGAAGUGAGUAAGUAAACUGAUUCUGAACUUGUUAUUGUGCACACAGUGUGCUGUUUUGUCCCAUUCUGUUACUGCCAACUCUGUGGGCUGUUCUCUCUGUGGAGAAACCACUGUCAGCCAUCAGAUCGUGUUCUUUUCAAUAAAUAGGCAUUACCUAUUUGACAGAUUUCUCCUGAAAUAAUGAGCCCAGAAACACCCAGAUGUGUAGGGUGCUUUUUUUGGCUUAAUCAAAGAUGCUUAAUUUGUAUGGUUACUGCAAUAAAUAUUUAGAUUUCUUUGCCCAUCCUUUUUGGAUCUACUAGUAGGCCUAGUGAUUUUAGAGGUCUUAACAAGUGGGCUAUGCAUCAGAUUUCAUUUCAAGUGAUGAGUAAAAUAUCCAGAAAGAUAUAUAAUCAGUUCUUUUUGCCCUCUAGCUUAGCACACUGAAUUCUUUGAGCCAUCUGGUGUCAAUCAGUGUGGGAAAAUGAUCAAUGAAAACAAUUUAAGAAAUGCAUCUUAUAGAUGUUUCAUAUUGUAGGCCUAUUCAGCCUAUUGUGUCAUGGUGGUGUUAUCAUUUUUCAAACUUUAUUUUUGUGUAAUAAUUAGGCAUAUUGAUACAUAAUCAUGUUCAUGUUUUGUGCUGUCUUGCUUUGCAGAUGACAGAAUAUUGCUGAAGGAUCCUACAUGGAAGCUGGCUGAUUACACGGAGUGAUUCCUCUGGUGUGGUGUACCUCAGAGAAAUAAACACUGUUGCAAGAGGUGAGUUUAAGUUUAUAAAGUCACACAAAACCUAUCCAUGUAUUUUUAAAAAGUCAAAGUUCUAACUUGCUCUGUAUUUCAUGCUGUCAAUAUGAGAUGCAUACUAAUGUUGUGUGUUAUUAUUGCAGCUGAGAAGAUGGCCAAGAUAUCCUUAUUGCUGGAUGGUAGCGUAGUGGACCAUAUCUGCAAAUGCUUCUGAACAUUGACAGAAUUUCUAAAGAUGACUGAGAAUAUUACUGAAGGAUCCUACAUGGAAGCUGUCUGAUUACACUGAGUGAUUCCUCUGGUGUGGUGUACCUCAGAGAAAAUAAACACUGUUGCAAGAGGUGAGAAGAUAUCCUUAUUGCUGGAUGGUUGCUCUCUGGUCGUACUUGAGCCCCCUGGACCAUGUCUGCAAAUGCUUCUGAACAUUGACAGAAUUUCUAAAGGAUCGCUGAGGACUCCCCCUCCAUGCGUGACAUCUUUGAGAAAUUUCCACGCUUUCUGGAGAUGCCAAGUUUGACUGGAACCAACUUUGCAUCCCUCGGCACUGACACUGAGAAGGUUUCAAGGACCCCACUACUAGGAGGCGAGAGUUUGACACGGCAUUGUCAUCACUGCCAUGGAUGACAACGUAACCAUUCCUGUUGCUGAUUGCCUGACUUGCGCAGUGACAAGCUUUUCAUGCUCUACUGGGUGUGUAACUUGGCAUAUCCACCACAGUUUAACUCUGUUUUUGCCUCUUUUGAAUAUGUGUACGAUAUAACCAUCUCAACCAACACGUGGGCCAAGGUACUGGAACAUUUCUCACUUUAAGUUGCUCUGUAGUCACUGGACAUUUUUUUAAACAUCUACGCAGUCACCACCACUCCACACCAUGUGCAUUUUAAUUACUUCUGAUUCCACUGACAUGCAGACUACAUCCUAUGCAAUUUCAGGUAAUUUACCUGGUACUGGAGAAACAGCAUUGUAUGCCAUUCUAAGUGAUACUUGCCUCGUUGUUUUGCAAAAAUGUACUGUUCUUUGAAUAUAACUUAAAGUAAGAUCAUGUUGACUCUGAGGUUUUCUCCGGUUGUCAAGCACAACCUUAACGUUUUGUAAGUAAGUAAUAGUCACAGGAUAUGCAUGCAUUUGUAAUUUGAGCACAACCUUAACGUUUUGUAAGUAAGUAAUAGUCACAGGAUAUGCAUGCAUUUGUAAUUUGAAUUUUCGUUGAAAACGGCUCACCAAGCAUAAAAUGUUACCUCUGCUUUUGAUUUUUCUUUUUUUUUAAAUGUCCCUUAAUACCAGCCUGUCUUUUUGUUGUGUCCACACAACUUUACCAUCAUCAGUGUUGGGAAGGAACAGAUUGCUGUAAGUUACUGUAUCCCCAUCCUUUCAGAUCAGUGCUUUAAAGCCUUUUGAAAUUAAAUUGUUAAUAAACUUUGUGAAAACAAACUCAAA